Molecule: ribosomal RNA, 490 nt
Filed under: uncultured bacterium
Lineage: Bacteria
Description: partial 16S ribosomal RNA
Rfam family: Bacterial small subunit ribosomal RNA
Source: RNAcentral
AUUGAACGCUGGCGGCAGGCCUAACACAUGCAAGUCGAACGGUAACAGGAAGAAGCUUGCUUCUUUGCUGACGAGUGGCGGACGGGUGAGUAAUGUCUGGGAAACUGCCUGAUGGAGGGGGAUAACUACUGGAAACGGUAGCUAAUACCGCAUAACGUCGCAAGACCAAAGAGGGGGACCUUCGGGCCUCUUGCCAUCGGAUGUGCCCAGAUGGGAUUAGCUAGUAGGUGGGGUAACGGCUCACCUAGGUGACGAUCCCUAGCUGGUCUGAGAGGAUGACCAGCCACACUGGAACUGAGACACGGUCCAGACUCCUACGGGAGGCAGCAGUGGGGAAUAUUGCACAAUGGGCGCAAGCCUGAUGCAGCCAUGCCGCGUGUAUGAAGAAGGCCUCCGGGUUGUAAAGUACUUUCAGCGGGGAGGAAGGGAGUAAAGUUAAUACCUUUGCUCAUUGACGUUACCCGCAGAAGAAGCACCGGCUAACUCCGUG